AAUUGGAUACAUGACAUAAGUGGUUGAAAUGUUUUGCUCCUUUUUUCUUGGUCUAUCCUGCUCAGUGAGGAUUUUCCUUGGUUCUGACUUGAUGAAGGUUUUGAUAGUUACCCUGAAUUUAAAUCUAAUUCAAAAUGUUGUUAACUAUCAUAGUUUAAGCUGCGUUUAUUCUUUAUACAUUUUGGGAAUGGCAACCUUAUAAUUUACAUGGUCACAACUGAUUAAACAAAGGUGGCAGCCAAAACAGUCAAUCUUGGCGAUCAAGAUGGGCUGCAGGGAAUAUAUCGAAUUGACGUCGGUGUUCCAGAAGAUGGCCGACUUCUAUGAUGUCCUUGUUAUUAGUACUAGCCCUUGGUAUUCUAUUUUUUGCUAAUUCACAGAAGAUGUUGACUGAACUAUUUCUUAUCUAUAUUUCUUCCAUAAUAAUGGAAUGGAGGGUGAGGUCAUGGGUUUUAGGCCCACUGGGUGUGCGUGUAACUUACCAAUAAAAAAAUGUAUCUAUUUUCAAGAAUUCUGAGUCAAACUACUUAAGGAGCCCUUCUAAACAUCAAAAUGCAUUGCCAUAUCCUUGUUUAGCAGGUGUAGUCUAACUUGGUGAUUUGCUUAAAGCUUGGCUUUUCCAGUUGGUGGACCCAAAAAGGCAUGACCUGCAUUGAUUUAUCAUCAAGUAUUAGUAUUUUUUUUCUCUCUAUAAUAGUUCAUUUCUUCUAACAUGUUUACUUGAGGUGUCUACACUAGAAAUGAAAGAAGAUGAUAUAAAGUCUGUAAAAGGAAGAUGGUGGUUUGACAGAUGUACCUGGUUGAAAGAGUCAUAUGAAUCAAAUGAAAUGACCUGGCUGUGGUAUGGAGAUAAGUAGAAAAGUAAGAAAGAAAACGAAUCAAAUAAAUCUUGAAGACAGUUGAUAUUAUAGAAUUAAUACUAGAAAAGGAGGAAGAUAAUUUAGUUUAAAAAAAGAAAGUAAAAAGUGGCUAGAAAUUCAGAAAGUCCUCAAGUUAGUACAAUAAGCUUCAGCGUGUCCAUUUCUUUCUAAAUUAAAGAUACUUAAGCCUUUCAGUUGGCACCUCAUGAGAUGAUCUGCACCUGUGGCAGUGUGGCCUCCUAUACUUUCUUAGCUUUCUGAAUAGAAUAUGCUUUCUGAUUUGGUUUUGAAUAGGUGGGGUUAUCAUUAAUUCCUGGAAGAGACACCUCUUGUAUUUUAAUGAUGCGGGGCAACUGAUAUCUCCUCCCCUUGAGAUGUUGGAUGGACUUAAAAGUUUUUCUUGAGUAUAUGAUCUCCUACAUACAAAAAGAUGUUCCGCAAGACACUCAAGUUCUGGAGUUUGCAAUUGCCUAUGCAUUUUUAUGGUGGCAAGUAGAAGCUGCUUCUAUGAGCCACUCAAGGAAGUCCAGGUAUGAAUUGAUGAUGGCACACCACACUUCCGUGCCUUCUUACCAAGAUUUUAUGUAUUGUUUCUCAAUACCAAUAUUGAUCAUGGUCCAUUUUAAAAUCAUAUUCAAUACCUGUAAUUUCUUUCAAGUUUUCAUUAACUUAUGCUGGGAUGGACAAAGAUUUCAGUUUCUUGCAUGGCAUGAAAUUAAAUUAAGAUGUACAUUUUUUAAAGUUAAAACUUUUUUCCAAAGGAAAAGGUGAAAUGGAAAAAAGAAGCAAGACAUCUGAAUCACUUAAUAUUAUUUGUGAGAUACAGAGAUUCAAUGGCAUGACCUUACUCAUUUGGGGUAAGUUCAGAGCAGAUGCCCACCUGGUAAUUUUUUCUUUUGAUUUGUCAUUUUGCAUUCAUUUUUCUUUUAAGGAUGCUUUAUUUCUCGGGGUGAUAUUAAAGGCUCGAUAUGUUAGACAUUCAAAAUAGUUUAUUUAUUCAUUCAAUCACUUUUUGCAAUCCGUUUUGCUUGUCUGAAAUCCAAAUUCUUUCUUGCAUUAUCAAAAGUAGACUUUGUUCUUAUGUUCAGAGGCUCUUCUGUUGGAAGAGAGGUUAGCUAAGCAAAUGAAGAAAUUGAAUAGUCGUUGUAAGAAUAUUUAAGAUUCUCCAUAAUCAGUGUUAACCAUAACAAAGUCAAAACUAGACCUUGUUCUUGGAACAGUUGAAACAAGGGGCUAUUUGUUCUUGAGAGGAAAAUAUUGUUUGGUUAUUGCUCAUCUACAUUACUUGGCCCUUGAACUUAGGACAUAAAUUUUCUGGUUGUAUUCUCCUAGGACUUUGUCUAUCAGCAUACAUGGUGUAUAAUAAAAAAUGCCCUUGUAUUGAAGUAGAGCUUUUUAAAAAUAAAAAGUAAAAAAUUUUGUUUAUUCUUGGAGUGUGAGUGAUUUAUAAUUCAUCUUGAUCCUCUAAAUCCUAGUCUUUCUUCUAGUAAAUAAAUACACUUCUGCUAAUGCAAUAGGUUUUUCUUUUCCUCCCUCUUUGUUCUAUAUAAUUUUGGCCAUAAUAUGUGAUGGGCACAUUGAAUUAUUCUAUGACACAAAUUGGAGAUACUGGCCUCAUAAGAGACAUCAACCCAUGUGUUAUGGUCCUUAUGGACACCAAAACUGCCGGGUGUGAAUCUGCUCUGAACUCAUUCAAGUGAGUCAGGUCAAGCUGUUGAAUAUCCGUGCCUCGCGAAACUUCUUCAAUCAUGUCUUGCUUCUUUGUUCAUGCCGUUGUUGCUGGAUUUAACCACAAGUCAAGCUGCACAGGUAUCAGUGCAGUAUCCAAUCUGCUUCAAAAACGAAGGGGGGGAGUGGGAAAAAGAAAAACCAUUGGUUUUUUUUUUUUCUUCCCUUUUGAAAUUUUUUUAAUAAGAUCUGAUUGAAUUUCAAGCCAUGGCAAGAAAUCAAAAUCUUUGUCUAAAAUCCCAGUAUAAGUUAAUGAAAACUUGAAAGAAAUACAAGGUAUUGAAUAUGAUUUUAAUAUAAACCAUGAUCAAUAUUGAUAUUGUUAGAUAAAAUCUUGGUAUGAGGUACCCACUAUAAUUUAUUGCAUUAGUUGUUAGAUUUAUGAGAAGAAGAGAAAAAGAGAAAAAGACAACUUAAAUUAGAGCGUAUUGCUUAUUUGUUAGAAGUGGAUAAAAAUACCACUGUACUUCAAACAAAAAAUGAUCUUUUAAAAAAAUUUACUUGCUCCCCAAGACUUUCAAAGAUUGGUGGAUCAUACAGCUAUUGAGGUUUCCUGGUUAUGUUGAAAUCAUAUUUAUAUAUAAGGAAAUAAACAGUUACAAAAUUAAUUGAUCCCACUAUUGCUCAAGAUCCCUGUCAUCCAUUUUAAUAUCUCAGUGCAUAGUGUUUUUUUUUCUAAUGGAAUUUGAACUCACUUUUGAGUUCAAUACACCUGUUGAUUAGCAUGUAGUCGGAGUCUGUGAGACAUUUAAGUUUUAAUUGCUAAACUAUGUCUUGCAAUUUUCACUCAGUUGACUUGAGUUACCCUAUGUUUAUGUUAAUUGUGUUUUAUGGUGUGACCAGAAGCAUGAGGAAGAAAUGGAUUCCAAAGCAAUCUACAAAAUUUUCGUUCUUCAGGGUAGUCCUUUCUUUAAAUUUAACUCUUCCUCAAAGUUUCGUCAUUCUAAAUUAGAGAUGAUGGCUUUUAACCAUACAGGUCAUGGCAACAAGAAGUCCCAAUAUAAGCCCCAUUUCGUCAAUUUCUCAAAAAUUGGUAACCUUAACCCCUAAUUUCAAUUUGUUCAUUGACAUUAUUGCCCUAUCAAGUUCUGAAGAAAGGAUUCUCAAAAAAAAAAAGUUCUGAAGAAAGGGAUUCAGUAGAAAAAGAUGUUCCCAAUUCCCAAUCUCUAAGUGGAGCAGCCAAAGGGACUAGUGGAGGAAGUGAUUAUGAGGAGAAAAUAAUAUCAAGUUCAGGGGAGAAGGGAAAUUCAUAAAGUCAAGAAAAACGAUGACAAGGAAAAUGCCGUGACCUGUGAUGAUACAGAAAAUGAGAGUAAAGUCUUAGAUAAUGAUGAAAAGAGAAACACUUUUGGCAUCAGAUGUUAACAGUGUGCAGAAUCAGAUAAUGGGCACCGUGAAAGAGUAACUCUGGGGAAGCAUGAUACUUCAAAGUAUCACAAAAGGUUAACUGAGUAACAGGUAACACUUUAAAAGACUGUUCCAUCUUGCUGCCCUGCCACCAGUGCUCUUAGUGUGAAGUAUAGGAAACUAAAGCCCACAAAUCCCAAGCCUUUUAGGCUAAGAACUGAUGAAAGAGGGAUUCUUAAGGAAGCAAACUCGGAGACAAAACUUGCCCCUCUGAAAGAAAUUACAACAGCUCCAAGGCCUCUGGUUAGAAAUUCAGAAAGAAUUCUUAAAAAUGUAUGCCUGAAAAAUUAAGAAGUCCAUGGAAAAAGUGAACCUGAGUAUGAUGUGCAUGUAGAUGGUGAAAGGAAAGUGGACAGAACAACAAACGAUGAUCGAUUUGUAAGUCUCUGAUACAUUUUUAAAAAAUUAUAAGAAAAAUAUGUCCUGCUUAUUGCUGUUUAAAGCACAUUGUUCCUUUGACUUUACUUAAUUUUCAUGAUUAAAACCUUGUUUAAUUUUACAUAACAAUUAUGUGUAGUUUCAAAUAAACAAUGUGUCAGUCCUAUCGCUUAUUAUUUUACUGUUGUUAUUCCCCAUCAGGGAAAGCUAUUCUCAAACUGAAUGGGAUAUUGUUAGCUA
Molecule: long non-coding RNA, 4613 nt
Organism: Quercus lobata
Lineage: Eukaryota; Viridiplantae; Streptophyta; Magnoliopsida; Fagales; Fagaceae
Exons: 5
Source: RefSeq, a predicted model, not a curated record